Molecule: non-coding RNA, 1979 nt
Organism: Nothobranchius furzeri (turquoise killifish)
Lineage: Eukaryota; Metazoa; Chordata; Actinopteri; Cyprinodontiformes; Nothobranchiidae
Source: RefSeq, a predicted model, not a curated record
AUCAUUUAGUCAGCUGGAUGCCAAAUUAUUCAUUUAAUGUUUAUUUUUAUGCAAUGAAUGGAAUGGGAUGGAACGUUACUAUAAACUUUCCGGAAAUUUGCGCAUGUUUGCUCGAAGGAGAGAACUGUUGAAGCCUAAAGCGUUCUCCUAGACUUAUAAAUAGACACCGUUUCCUUAACUAAUGAAGAUAAGUGAUGACGCUGAUGUAUUCCGUUUUGAAAAGAAAAUAAGGCUUUACUGCAUGUCCGCUGCAGCUGAGAAUCCUAGGACAAUAAAGAUUAUAUUGACGUCCAAUGGUGAGUUGGGCUGAAAUCCAGGUUACUAAUCCUAUUAUUUAUUUAUUUAUUGAUAUUAUUAUUAUCUUUUUUUAGGCUAACUUUCUCAGUUAACUAUGUUCUACAGUAGUUUAGUAAAUUUUCCACAGUUCUGACAUUUCAUCAAUUCAACUGGUUGUUGCCAAAAAGCCUUGUUCAUUACCUGACUGCAGCAAGCACUCUUUUACUGGGUGUAACCAUAGGAAACAGUCUCUUUUGAGCCUCUCUUUGUAAGUCCAGGAUGACCACCGUCAUUGAUUAAAGUUCACAUGUUAGCACACAUGCUCCCCCUUUUGUACUUUGUUUCAUCAGCAGCAGGGCAAAUAAGUUUCUGCCUCUUUGUCCAUCUUGUAGUGCUCCCCGUCUUUAUGUUAUGAGUCACAGCUUUUGGUGAGGGCUUCCAGGUUCUCUUUGGUGAGGGCUUCCAGGUUCUCUUUGUAUAGAAGUCAGAGCCAAACAUUCUUUGCAGCUGGUUGUGACAGGCCCACCCAGUAAAGUUCAUGCCUGCCACAAUGCACAGCAAACGUUUUCCUUAAAUAUGUUGAUUGAGUUAAAAUGACAGAACUUUCUCUUUUACAAAUCAAAAUCAACGAUGGUUUCUAAUAUUUAGUCGACUUUAUUGACUCAAAGGUAAAUCUAGACUACUUUAUGCACAAUUUUUCUGAAUCGUCAAAUCAGUUCUACACAGGUUUUAAACUUUAGGCACAAUCUAUCCCAAAUGCAAGAUCCCUCCUUUCAUUUUUUGUUUAUCUAUUUUAUUUUGGGAAAAUAACUACCAGUUUUUAACUCAAAACAGCCUAGUACAGUUUCUAGCCAGGUUACAGGAAAUAAUACUUAGUUUAUCUGUUUUUUCAUUAUUCAGCAUCUCAAAAUCCAGCCAUUAACGUUAAUGGUUCUUAAAGUUGAGGCAAGACAAUUAUUGGAUUUUGUUUUAUAGCAAGAUUUAACAAAUAUUUUAUUUCCUUACUGAUUAUUUGUUAAUUUUAUGGUUUUCAUAAAGAUGAUCCUGAGAGGUUCAGAGCUGCUUUUCGCAGCACCCUGUGCUAUUUUUAGACCACGGGACUCUUGUGUGUAAAAGUGGGUGGAGUCAGGUCCCCAGGCUGAAACUCCAGUCAUUCUCACUAGAUCUGUCCGAGAGGAAGGAUCUCCUGAAUACCCUAACCAGAAGCCUUAAGUCUCUCGAACUAAAUAACCGUCUAGUAAAAACAUGGACCGCACCCUGUUUCUCAAGCAGCUGCUCCCUCUAUUAAAAACUGCGUCAUUCAGAAGAUCCAGCGAAAGCAGCAUUUACUUCUCAUGCAAGAAGACACACAUUCACUCAUUCACAAGGCACAGAGACAUUCUUUGUUUGUCACAGUCUCUUUUUAUUAUUAUUAUUAUUUUUUAAAAGUAAGUCAGUUCGUCACUUAUUUAUUCUCUCUCUAUAUAUAUAUAAUAUUUUAAGCACAGAAUUUAUUUAACACUGCACUGGUUAUUUUCAGAAUUUAAUGCUUACUAUGCUUUUAAGCAGGCCUUAUGUAACAUUAGAGCAAAUCCAAUUGCAAUUUUUUUGAGAGCGCUCUGAGGAAUAGUUUAUAUAUUUAUUUUCUGCAGAUCUGUUUUGAUUUUACUGUUUAGCAGCUAUAUGACUAUAUUUCUAAAAUAAAGCUGUCAUUUACAUCCUUA